CCUACGGGAGGCAGCAGUGGGGAAUAUUGGACAAUGGGCGCAAGCCUGAUCCAGCCAUGCCGCGUGAGUGAAGAAGGCCUUCGGGUUGUAAAGCUCUUUUGUCCGGAAAGAAAAGCAUUCGGUUAAUAACCGGGUGUCAUGACGGUACCGGAAGAAUAAGCACCGGCUAACUUCGUGCCAGCAGCCGCGGUAAUACGAAGGGUGCAAGCGUUACUCGGAAUUACUGGGCGUAAAGCGUGCGUAGGUGGUUUGUUAAGUCUGAUGUGAAAGCCCUGGGCUCAACCUGGGAACGGCAUUGGAAACUGGCUUACUAGAGUGCGGUAGAGGGGUGUGGAAUUCCCGGUGUAGCAGUGAAAUGCGUAGAUAUCGGGAGGAACAUCUGUGGCGAAGGCGACACCCUGGACCAGCACUGACACUGAGGCACGAAAGCGUGGGGAGCAAACAGGAUUAGACACCCUGGUAGUCCACGCCCUAAACGAUGCGAACUGGAUGUUGGGUGCAAUUUGGCACUCAGUAUCGAAGCUAACGCGUUAGGUUCGCCGCCUGGGAAGUACGGUCGCAAGACUGAAACUCAAAGGAAUUGACGG
This 587-nucleotide ribosomal RNA is filed under the name uncultured bacterium. Its description in RNAcentral is "bacterial SSU rRNA". It matches the Rfam family "Bacterial small subunit ribosomal RNA", at positions 338 to 916 of the family's 1533-position model. The record is from RNAcentral.